AAGGUGCUGCAUGGUUGUCGUCAGCUCGUGCCGUGAGGUGUCGGGUUAAGUCCCAUAACGAGCGCAACCCUACCGUUAGUUACCAUCAGGUUAAGCUGGGGACGUCUAGCGGGACUGCCACCGUAAGGUGAGAGGAAGGUGGGGAUGACGUCAAAUCAGCACGGCCCUUAUGUCCAGGGCUACACACGUGUUACAAUGGCCGGUACAAAGGGCAGCUACUUCGCGAGAAGAUGCUAAUCUCGAAAGCCGGUCUCAGUUCGGAUCGAAGUCUGCAACCCGACUUCGUGAAGCUGGAUUCGCUAGUAAUCGCGCAUCAGCCAUGGCGCGGUGAAUACGUUCCCGGGCCUU
Molecule: ribosomal RNA, 348 nt
Filed under: uncultured Sphingobacteriales bacterium
Lineage: Bacteria; Pseudomonadati; Bacteroidota; Sphingobacteriia; Sphingobacteriales
Description: bacterial SSU rRNA
Rfam family: Bacterial small subunit ribosomal RNA
Source: RNAcentral